Myiozetetes cayanensis is the source of this 280-nucleotide long non-coding RNA. RefSeq lists it as uncharacterized. The record is from RefSeq and is a predicted model, not a curated record. NCBI's taxonomy places the organism in Eukaryota, Metazoa, Chordata, Aves, Passeriformes, Tyrannidae. The transcript is spliced from 3 exons.
GUCUUACCACUGGAAAGCACUGGGAGAUGCCAAUCUGUCGGCGCAUUCCUGGUGCUGAGGAGGGAGAGGCGUCGUGUCGGAGUGAUGUUCCCGUUUGCAAAAUGGUACCUUUGACCUCUGAUAUAGAUUAAAGAAAAGCCAAGGAAAGGCUGGAGGAGAGUGAAACCUUGAUGAGACUACAGUUGUUCCACUGGUAUCCUUGCAGCCAAGAGGAGGAAAUGUGGGUGGAACGGAUGAAUUACAAGGUAAGUGAAAAACCACUGGGUCCAUAAGGUUUGAA